Oncorhynchus tshawytscha (Chinook salmon) is the source of this 523-nucleotide long non-coding RNA. NCBI's taxonomy places the organism in Eukaryota, Metazoa, Chordata, Actinopteri, Salmoniformes, Salmonidae. The record is from Ensembl.
GGGAGGGGUAAGGGAGUAGGGAGGGGUUAGGGAGAGGUUAGGGAGUAGGGAGUAGGGAGGGGUUAGGGAGAAGGGAGGGGUUAGGGAGUAGGGAGAGGUUUGGGAGUAGGGAGGGGUUAGGGAGUAGGGAGGGGUUAGGGAGUAGGGAGAGGUUAGGGAGUAGGGAGGGGUAAGGGAGUAGGGAGGGGUUAGGGAUUAGGGAGAGGUUAGGGAUUAGGGAGGGGUUAGGGAGUAGGCAGGGGUUAAGGAGUAGGGAGGGGUUAGGCAGUAGGCAGGGGUUAGGGUGUAAGGAGAGGUUAGGGAUUAGGGAGGGGUUAGGGAGUAGGCAGGGGUUAGGGAGUAGGGAGGGGUUAAGGAGUAGGGAGGGGUAAGGGAGAAGGGAUGGGUUAGGGAGUAUGGAGGGGUUAGGGAGUAGGGAGGGGUUAGGGAGUAGGGAGGGGUUAGGGAGUAGGGAGAGGUUAGGGAGUAGGGAGGGGUUAGGGAGUGGUUAGGGAGUAGGGAGAGGUUAGGGUGUAGGGAGGGG